GAGGGGCAGCACGAUGUAGCAAUACAUUGGUGGCGACCGGCGCACGGGUGCGUAACACGUAUGGAACCUGCCCUGUACUGGGAGAUAGCCCUCCGAAAGGAGGAUUAAUAUCCCAUAAUAGCUUGAGUGGCAUCACUCGGGUUUGAAAGCUCCGGCGGUACAGGAUGGCCAUGCGCACGAUUAGCUAGUUGGUGAGGUAACGGCUCACCAAGGCUACGAUCGUUAGGGGGCCUGAGAGGGUUAUCCCCCACACUGGUACUGAGACACGGACCAGACUCCUACGGGAGGCAGCAGUGAGGAAUCUUCCGCAAUGGGCGAAAGCCUGACGGAGCGACGCCGCGUGGUGGAUGAAGGCCCUUACGGGUCGUAAACACCUGUUCUGAGGGACGAAAUUUUUGACGGUACCUCAGGAGAAAGUAUCGGCAAACCCUGUGCCAGCAGCCGCGGUAAUACAGGGGAUACAAGCGUUACUCGGAAUUACUGGGCGUAAAGCGUCUGUAGGUGCUUAAGAAAGUCUGAGGUAAAAACUCGGGGCUUAACCCCGAGAUCGUCUUGGAAACUUCUUGAGUGGAGCAGUGGAAAGGCAUCUGGAAUGUCGCAUGUAGGAGUAAAAUCCGUAGAUAUGCGAUGGAACGCCAAAAGCGUAGGCAGGAUGCUAGCCACUCGCUGACACUGAGAGACGAAAGCGUGGGGAGCGAAGCGGAUUAGAUACCCGCGUAGUCCACGCCCUAAACGAUGCGAGCUCGAUGUAGGGGGUUCUCAAUUGCCCUCUGUGUCCAAGUUAACACGGUAAGCUCGCCGCCUGGGAAGUACGGUCGCAAGACUAAAACUCAAAGGAAUAGACGGGGACCCACACAAGCGGUGGAGCAUGGGGUUUAAUUCGAUAGUAAGCGGAGAACCUCACCUAGGCUUGACAUCUUUGGAAUCCGGCAGAAACGUCGGAGUGCCGCAAGGAACCAAAAGACAGGCGCUGCACGGUUGUCGUCAGCUCGUGCCUUGAGGUGUACUGUUAAGUCAGCGAACGAGCGCAACCCUCAUCCUGUGUUGAUUUUUCACAGGAGACUGCCGCCUCCAAGGCGGAGGAAGGUGGGGAUGACGUCAAAUCAGCGUGGCCCUUAUGCCUAGGGCAACACCCGUGCUACAAUGGCCGGUACAAACCGUUGCAAACCCGUAAGGGGGAGCCAAUCGGAAAAAGCCGGUCUCAGUUCGGAUUGAAGUCUGCAACUC
RNAcentral lists this ribosomal RNA (1227 nucleotides) under uncultured bacterium. RNAcentral describes it as "bacterial SSU rRNA". It matches the Rfam family "Bacterial small subunit ribosomal RNA", at positions 64 to 1313 of the family's 1533-position model. The record is from RNAcentral.